This is a long non-coding RNA of Jaculus jaculus (lesser Egyptian jerboa), 321 nucleotides long. RefSeq lists it as uncharacterized. The record is from RefSeq and is a predicted model, not a curated record. The transcript is spliced from 2 exons. NCBI's taxonomy places the organism in Eukaryota, Metazoa, Chordata, Mammalia, Rodentia, Dipodidae.
AAUGACUCGAGGGAACCUCUGAAACACAAGUCAGAUCACGAUCUCCCCUGUGGGCCUCUCGCUGUUCCUCAACCACAUUCUUGCCUCGUGGCCUUUGUGCCUGCUCUUUUCUCCUGCUGCAACAUCUUCCUGGAAUCUCUGUGUGGCUCUUCUCCCUACCGUCUUCAGGUCAACUCUCUCGUUAUUUAAAGUAACAGUUCCCCCUGCACUACCUACCCCUUUUGCCUUCUUUAAUUUCUUCUUGGCUCUCACUGUUAUCUGACAUACUAUGUACUUUUGUUUAUUGUCUGUCUACUCCAUUAGAAUAAAAAAUUCACAACA